This is a non-coding RNA of Bubalus bubalis (water buffalo), 618 nucleotides long. The record is from the annotation of a RefSeq genome assembly. Lineage: Eukaryota; Metazoa; Chordata; Mammalia; Artiodactyla; Bovidae.
AAUGCAAGUGUCUUGAUCGUUCUCAGUGUCUCCAUGUGCAAGCUCAGCUGCGACAGUCACUUGACCGCAAUGACAAAUUCUGCAUGUUGAGCCAGGGGGAGCUCUAGGUUCCAGCCUCUGCCCUUGGCCUCCCUCACACUUCAUCUGGGGUUAUACAAAGACACAGUCCUUGCCAUGGGUAGCUGGGCCCUCUACCUGACCCUUUGUCUCCUGGGAGCAGGACCCAUGGAUGCUGAAAUCUACCAGGUAAGAUUCCUGCUCACUGAGGCUGGCCAGGAUGUGACCCUGGAGUGUAAACAGAACCUGGGCUACAGUGCCAUGUACUGGUACCGGCAGGACCCAGGGCAGGGUCUGAAGCUGAUUUAUUACUCUACGGUUGUAAAGGAUAUUCAGAGAGGAGACUUAUCUGAAGGCUACAGUGUCUCUCGAGAGAAGCAGGAGCUGUUUCCUCUCACUGUGAAGUCGGCUCACACCAACCAAACAGCUGUGUACCUCUGCUCUGGGGGCACCACAAUGGAGCACGGCCACCUCUCACCUGUGCACAAACCCACUCCAGCCCUACAGCCCCCGAUACAGCCUCCCUCUAAAAACUUGUAAAGUACCCUUUCCCUUCACACU